GCGCGCGCGACCUCUUCGCUACCAGCGCUCGGUGAGGGCGGGCGGCACUCGGUGUGGUGACGAAUUUUAGUUGAAAUACCGCUGUUGUCUUUAAAAGAGUCUCUCCCAGGAACUGCACUCGGACCGGAUCCCUCUCGGCAGCCUGUAGCGCCGAUCGGCCUCCGGCGACCAUCAUCUCGGUUUUUGCAGCGUUUAUCUUCAUGCCGUUCUGGAGAAAUGCCGGCCUGUCUGGUCAGCCGUCUGAGGCGGCGCCGCCACCCCUCUGUCGCCUGGACGGCCACCGGAGAGGAGUCGGGCCCCGCCACCGGUCCCGCGUCCCAUCGACCUGUCAUGCUCGCAACGCAUUGCGUUGUGUGAUCAGCCGUCUGGGGCGGUGCCGCCACCCCUCUGUGUUCGCUGGACGACCACCGGGAGAGAGAGAGAGAGAGCGCGCCCCCGGUCCGGUGUCGGACCGACCUGUCAACAAACAGACUCGGAACGCUCAUGUGCGGCAGUACGUGCGUCGCCGUUGGUACCGAGACUGGAAACGUCCAUCUGCCGGUCAAAACUGGACUGCGGCCGACGGGAACUCCAGAUCUCUCACAGCUCGCGGGUUGGUGAACCAGCUUGAUUGGGAAUCUCCGGCGACCUCACACCUGGACGAAAG
This is a long non-coding RNA of Amphibalanus amphitrite, 646 nucleotides long. RefSeq lists it as uncharacterized. The transcript is spliced from 6 exons. The record is from RefSeq and is a predicted model, not a curated record. NCBI's taxonomy places the organism in Eukaryota, Metazoa, Arthropoda, Thecostraca, Balanomorpha, Balanidae.